GCCCUGCUGGCGCAAUGGUAGCGCGUUGGACUUCUAAAAUCGAGAUGACGGAAACGUUUAUGCUCCUUCAUUCUAUGAAAUCCAAAGGUUGCGGGUUCGAGUCCCGCGUGGGGUG
Molecule: non-coding RNA, 115 nt
Organism: Saccharata proteae CBS 121410
Lineage: Eukaryota; Fungi; Ascomycota; Dothideomycetes; Botryosphaeriales; Saccharataceae
Source: the annotation of a GenBank genome assembly